AUAUGGGCGAAAAGAUAUCUUUGAUAUGGGUAAGCCACGUCAGCACUAUUAUAGCCUUUGUCAACCGCUACAUGCUUUCACUAAGGUCCCCACAAAGAUCGGCCUCGAGGCGAAGUAGCCUCAGUGGUCGAAGACUCAGUGAAGAUCAAGGUCGCGAAGUUACCGUGGAUCAAGAUUGAGGUACAGCAUCUUAGAUAGAGUUAUAACGGCUAGUUCUAAUAUAAGACAUAAAGGAGAAUAUUCUAGUGAAUAUUUCUUCACAUGUACUAUUAGAGUUUUCUAUAAACAUGUUUAUUAUAAAUAGAAAGAGAUCAAUGAUAGAGGAUAUGAGAUAUUCAUUUUUUUU
RNAcentral lists this long non-coding RNA (346 nucleotides) under Nicotiana benthamiana. Its description in RNAcentral is "long non-coding RNA (NBEN_LNC001969)". The record is from RNAcentral. Lineage: Eukaryota; Viridiplantae; Streptophyta; Magnoliopsida; Solanales; Solanaceae.